This 74-nucleotide transfer RNA is filed under the name Bacillota bacterium. Its description in RNAcentral is "tRNA-Thr". It matches the Rfam family "tRNA". Rfam says of the family: Transfer RNA (tRNA) molecules are approximately 80 nucleotides in length. Lineage: Bacteria; Bacillati; Bacillota. The record is from RNAcentral.
GCCCCCUUAGUUAAGUGGCAUAACAGAUCCAUGGUAAGGACCCGUUGCUAGUUCGAUUCUGGCAGGGGGCACCA